GGCGACAAAGCUUAGCCCAUACCUCUUGGAAACGCCAGCCUAGCGGAGUUUGCCUUCAUUCAAUCUGUUACCACUCAAUCAACAUUAUAACUUAUCAAAAUACUGAACUUUAUAUGAAGUAAAAUGAAUGAAUAAAGAUGGGUAAUGGACCAAGAUUCAAAAGCUGGGGAGAUAAGGCGGGGGCGGCGGAGGUGUAAAGAAGAACGAUCAUCACCCUCUCAUUCCUCCCAGCCGGAUUGCUUCCGUCACAAGAAUUUGAAUUUCCUUUUGUUUUCUUUUUUUCUUUGAAUUAUUACCAUUAUAUUAAAGUGAGAAAGGACGAGAUGAAGUUGCGGCACAACAGAAAAGCCACCUCCAUGUUCUCUUCCCACUUGGGCGGCACCACAGCUAUGGACUCUGACUAAACUUCCUUUCAAGUUUCAACCAUCUCUCUCUCUCUCUCUCACUGUCUCUCCCCUGACGUUUCCAUCGGAAUUCCGACGCCUGAAAGGUUGGUGUUCCAUCUCUCGUCCGAUCGGCGAAGUGCGAGAUAUCCUCAUCCGAUUUACGUAAUUGCCCAUUCCUGAAUCGUUGGAUUUUCUUAGCCUCGUCACUCAAAACCCUGCAUCGGCACCUCCGCC
Molecule: long non-coding RNA, 620 nt
Filed under: Linum usitatissimum (flax)
Lineage: Eukaryota; Viridiplantae; Streptophyta; Magnoliopsida; Malpighiales; Linaceae
Description: long non-coding RNA (LUSI_LNC004951)
Source: RNAcentral